AUGAAUCUUAAUAAUGAUGGGACUGGAGAUGAGUCAUCUUUAGUUAAAAGGGGUCCCAACGAUUCGGAAUUUUUAGAUCUUGAUGCUAAAUUUGGUAAAAGUGGGAUUGGAGAGGUCAAGACUUUAAAUAGCAUUGAACCCACUAUAUCAGAUUUCAAGGAAUUUAAUUAUGAUAAUUGUUCUUUAGAAAGUUGUAUUUCCUUGUUGCAAUCUGUUGUGAAUUCUCCUCAUGCUUAUAGUCAAAAUAAAGCUUUUACCAAACAUAUUGUUGAUGCCUUGAUGCAAUCUUUUGACGAAAAACUUAAUUUGGAAGUUUCUAUACCUAGAAAACUUAAUGAUGAGUGGGAACCUACUAUAAAGAUUAAAAUUAAAGAUCAUGAGUGUUAUGGUUUGUGUGAUUGGGUGCUAGUGUUUCCACAAUUCCGAAAACUUUAUGUGAUAUUCUAG
Molecule: ribosomal RNA, 447 nt
Filed under: Triticum aestivum (bread wheat)
Lineage: Eukaryota; Viridiplantae; Streptophyta; Magnoliopsida; Poales; Poaceae
Description: partial small subunit ribosomal RNA
Source: RNAcentral